RNAcentral lists this ribosomal RNA (434 nucleotides) under uncultured bacterium. RNAcentral's name for it is "partial 16S ribosomal RNA". It matches the Rfam family "Bacterial small subunit ribosomal RNA", at positions 29 to 507 of the family's 1533-position model. The record is from RNAcentral.
AGCGAACGCUGGCGGCAGGCCUAACACAUGCAAGUCGAACGAACCUUUCGGGGUUAGUGGCGGACGGGUGAGUAACACGUGGGAACGUGCCUUUAGGUUCGGAAUAACUCAGGGAAACUUGUGCUAAUACCGAAUGUGCCCUUCGGGGGAAAGAUUUAUCGCCUUUAGAGCGGCCCGCGUCUGAUUAGCUAGUUGGUUGAGGUAAUGGCUCACCAAGGCGACGAUCAGUAGCUGGUCUGAGAGGAUGAUCAGCCACAUUGGGACUGAGACACGGCCCAAACUCCUACUGGAGGCAGCAGUGGGGAAUCUUGCGCAAUGGGCGAAAGCCUGACGCAGCCAUGCCGCGUGAAUGAUGAAGGUCUUAGGAUUGUAAAAUUCUUUCACCGGGGACGAUAAUGACGGUACCCGGAGAAGAAGCCCCGGCUAACUUCGUG